CUUUAGGACCCAGAUUCUACAGCGGAAGAAGAAACGCCUCACUCUUAUUCCCAUCACCACCACCAUCCUCCUCCUCCUCCUCCUCCAGCCUCCACCGCGAAGAUGCUGCAUCCCGUCCCCCAGGCUCUAAUCAUGUGUUUCAGUGUGUUAGUUAGCGGACAAGCCGAGGACUCCAGACUGACCGAGAGAGCUUAUGUGGUCUUAGAGAAGCAGAAUUUAGUCACGCUCGGCAGCGUCCUCGGAGUCCUGCUGCUGCUAAUGAUUAUCAUGGCUGUGUGUGUCUACAAACCGCUGGCUCGUCGGUGAGCUCGUCCCGUAAACCUGGAGAGGAUACGAGGACCGAGAGACAAACCUGCACCGAGUACCGAGCAGCUCAGCCCCGGUACCACAAGGCGCUCCUGACGGGUCCAGACUCAGAGGAGAACCGAGCUCUGCACCCAGACUGCACGGUUAUUGAUUAACUGGGAUUUCAUUGGUCCUAAAAGCAGGCCAUUUAAUAAUUGUUGUAUGUUUGGAUGGGAUUACAUCUAUGCAUUUUUUUUAUUUAGUUUAAAUAAACAGGGGGGACAUAUUACA
Molecule: long non-coding RNA, 576 nt
Organism: Scatophagus argus
Lineage: Eukaryota; Metazoa; Chordata; Actinopteri; Scatophagidae
Exons: 2
Source: RefSeq, a predicted model, not a curated record